Zonotrichia albicollis (white-throated sparrow) is the source of this 1688-nucleotide non-coding RNA. The record is from RefSeq and is a predicted model, not a curated record. NCBI's taxonomy places the organism in Eukaryota, Metazoa, Chordata, Aves, Passeriformes, Passerellidae.
GGGGAAUUGGAGUCAGUUGCUGCUGUGAGGACAAGGAACAGUUAGUGCUUAGAGGAGAUGCCUAUGAGAAAUAUCAAUGAGCCUGCUAACCAAGAAGUUUCUCUGAGCACCAUUAAUUGGCACUGGGGACCCUGACCCUUUUUGUGGCCUGGAAGUGGCCAUUGUUCUUCCAGUCUCCGAUGCCAAUUGAGCUGGAGGAGUUUAAUUUAUUUUGCUUUCUGCUGUGCCCACACCUGACUAACCAAAGCAGCUUCACAAGGGUCCCAAUGAUCUCUACAGUUUAACCCCUGUAUCUCUUCAUAUUGCUUUGCAAAGCAGAUUUCCUUGGAGGUUUGUGCCUCAGAUCUUUAGAUUCAGCUUCAGUGACUGCAAUCCCUGUUGAUGAACAUCCAGAGUACACUCACAUUCCUUCCAGAAGGACAAGAACUGUGAAGAGGAACCUAGUAAUGAUGAAUGGCAGGGUCUGGUCUUCACUCAGCAAUAUGUAAAUUUUAGAUAUUUUUACCACCUCAGUUUCCCACUGUCAGAUUCAUAGGUCAUGGUCUUCUUGCUUGAAAAGUACAAGAACGUUGUUUCCAAUGGGCAGAAAUAUUAGCAUAUCACUGGGUGAUACUGAUGAACAAAAUUGUGUUUCGCUUAAAUGACUAUUUCCUCUCUGAAUCCAGAUGUUUUCUGUGGUCCCUGUUGGCAAAAUGCUGUCUGUGAGAAGGUCCCUGCUGUCUGUCACAAUACAGUGUUAUCUUGUGAAGGGUUCCUUAAAUAUCUGCAAGGUCACAGAGAUUAACUGUUCUCUUGGGAAACUCAGGAAAAGUAGAAUGUCAGCAUCACCUUUCCCCCAAGUGAAAGGCUGAAUGACAUUUCCAGUGAUAUUGAUUAGAGCAUCUUUGAGUUUGAAAAGGGAAAUGGUGAUUUCAACAUCUACAGUGAAACGCAGGGGUAGAAGCAGGAAUCUGUGAGUGUAGACAGCAUUUCAUUUCAGCAGGAAUCUGUGAGUGCAGACAGCAUUUUAUUUCAGGAGAAAUUCAAGUCUGGGAAUCAGGAAAUCUCCUUCCUCAGAGUGCUUGGGUCUCAUCACAGGGGAGCUGGAUUUUUCUCUCUCCAUUUGCACAGGUAAAACUGUGGACUGAGAGAACCAUUCACAAUGGUACCUCACUCUUUCAGGUACCUUCUUCCCUUACUUGCCUUCCAGGCUGUAGUGCUGGGGAAAACCACUUCAUCCAGGAUGCUCCUGUGCUACAAAGUCAAAAAGGACACUCCAAGCCAUCUGUGAAAGUUACAACUUUUAAGAUGCCUUCCUCUCAUGCCAGUUCAUACUGCAAGACAAGUCACUGGCAGCCCCAGAAAACUGGAUCUCAGUAACCACAAGCGAACAGCUAUUUUAUCAGAGCUGACUUCUCUCUGUCUCUACCACAGCCACUUCCACUGACUCAGGGCUAUGUGUCAAAGGAAGGAUCAUCACUAUCUUGACUGUUUAGCAUAUAGUUUGUUUCACAUUAUGUAUUUUAUACAGUGUCCCUACAAUGCUUCUGCAUUAAAUAGAGCAGCAGAGUGAAAAAUUACCAAAGAAUGUAAAGAAGAAAAGAAAAUGGGGAAUGGCAAUUUUCAUCUGGGGUAAACUGACAGCUGCACUGAAUCCAGUGGAGCUAUCCUGAGUUCUGCUGCAGAUUCUCCAGACAAGAAUUAAUCUU